Molecule: ribosomal RNA, 644 nt
Filed under: uncultured fungus
Lineage: Eukaryota; Fungi
Description: eukaryotic LSU rRNA
Rfam family: Eukaryotic large subunit ribosomal RNA
Source: RNAcentral
ACCCGCUGAACUUAAGCAUAUCAAUAAGCGGAGGAAAAGAAACUAACAAGGAUUCCCCUAGUAACGGCGAGUGAAGCGGGAAGAGCUCAAAUUUGUAAUCUGGCACCUUCGGUGUCCGAGUUGUAAUCUCGAGAAGUGUUUUCCGCGCCGGACCGCAUACAAGUCUGUUGGAAUACAGCGUCAUAGUGGUGAGAACCCCGUAACUGAUGCGGAUGCCCGGUGCUUUGUGAUACACUUUCGAAGAGUCGAGUUGUUUGGGAAUGCAGCUCAAAUUGGGUGGUAAAUUCCAUCUAAAGCUAAAUAUUGGCGAGAGACCGAUAGCGAACAAGUACCGUGAGGGAAAGAUGAAAAGCACUUUGGAAAGAGAGUUAACAGUACGUGAAAUUGUUGGAAGGGAAACGCUUGAAGUCAGACUUGCUAUUUGGAGUUCAGCCGCAAGGUGUAUUCUUCAAUUUGCAGGCCAGCAUCAGUUUUUGGGGGUGAAAAAGGGUAUUGAGAAGGUAGCAGUUUCGGCUGUGUUAUAGCUCUUUGCUGGAUUCAUCCUUGGGGACUGAGGUACGCAGCGCGCUUUUUGCAAGGUUCUCGGGCCUAUCGCGCUUAGGAUGCUGGUGGAAUGGCUUUAAACGACCCGUCUUGAAACACGG